Molecule: ribosomal RNA, 253 nt
Filed under: uncultured bacterium
Lineage: Bacteria
Description: partial 16S ribosomal RNA
Rfam family: Bacterial small subunit ribosomal RNA
Source: RNAcentral
UACGGAGGGUGCAAGCGUUAAUCGGAAUUACUGGGCGUAAAGAGUGCGUAGGUGGUUUGAUAAGUUAUCUGUGAAAGCCCUGGGCUUAACCUGGGAAAGUCAGAUAAGACUGUUAGACUUGAGUAUGGGAGAGGGUAGUGGAAUUUCCGGUGUAGCGGUGAAAUGCGUAGAGAUCGGGAGGAACACCUAUGGCGAAGGCAGCUCGCUGGGACGUUACUGACGCUGAGGCGCGAAAGCGUGGGGAGCAAACAGG